CGCUCCUUGAAAAGAUUUCUAAUAUAUAAGGAGUUCUGCCUGCCCAGUGACAAAGUUAAACGGCCGCGGUAUUUUGACCGUGCAAAGGUAGCAUAAUCAUUUGCCUUUUAAAUGGAGGCUGGUAUGAAUGGCAAGACGGAGAUUUAGCUGUCUCUCUCUUAGAGUUUUGAAUUUAAUAUUUUUGUGAAGAAGCGAAAAUAGAAUCGUAGGACGAGAAGACCCUAUCGAGCUUAAGUAAUAGGUACAGGUUUGUAGUGUGUUCACAGUAUUAAUUAUUCUUUUAAAGAAGAAAGUUAGUUUUAUUAUGGGGGCACAGGAAUCUUGUAUCUUUUGUUUAGAUUGGGGCAAUCGCGGAAAAAAUAAAACUUCCGUUGUAGAUAAUAGGAAAGUGACUCCUUUAUAUUAUAAUUAGUUAUAUUGAAAUGAUCCGUUUUUAGAAAGCGAGUAAAGGAAUAAGUUACCGUAGGGAUAACAGCGUAAUUUUUUUGGAGAGUUCAUAUUGAUAAAAGAGUUUGCGACCUCGAUGUUGGAUCGGGACUUCCAGAGGAUGCAGCAGUUCUCAAGGGUUGGUCUGUUCGACCAUUAAAGUCCUACGUGAUCUGAGUUCAG
Molecule: ribosomal RNA, 609 nt
Filed under: Styracaster longispinus
Lineage: Eukaryota; Metazoa; Echinodermata; Asteroidea; Paxillosida; Porcellanasteridae
Description: partial 16S ribosomal RNA
Rfam family: Bacterial large subunit ribosomal RNA
Source: RNAcentral